AGUGGCGGACGGGUGAGUAACGCGUGGGUAACCUGCCUCAUACAGGGGGAUAACAGUUGGAAACGACUGCUAAUACCGCAUAACAAACAGAAACGGCAUCGUUUCUGUUUCAAACUUUUUUGGGUAUGAGAUGGGCCCGCGUCUGAUUAGCUAGUUGGUGGGGUAACGGCCUACCAAGGCGACGAUCAGUAGCCGGCUUGAGAGAGUGAACGGCCACAUUGGAACUGAGACACGGUCCAAACUCCUACGGGAGGCAGCAGUAAGGAGUCUUCGGCAAUGGGGGAAACCCUGACCGAGCAACGCCGCGUGAGUGAUGACGGCCCUAUGGGUUGUAAAGCUCUGUUGUAAGGGACGAAUGAUUAGCUUAGGAAAUGAAGCUAUUUUGACAGUACCUUACCAGAAAGCCACGGCUAACUACGUGCCAGCAGCCGCGGUAAUACGUAGGUGGCAAGCGUUAUCCGGAAUUAUUGGGCGUAAAGAGGGAGCAGGCGACAAGAUAAGUUUGAAGUGAAAGCGUGGGGCUCAACCCCAUACAGCUUCGAAAACUGUCUAGUUAGAGUACGGGAGAAGUGAAUGGAACUCCAUGUGUAGCGGUGAAAUGCGUAGAUAUAUGGAAGAACACCAGUGGCGAAGGCGAUUCACUAGCCCGAAACUGACGCUCAGUCCCGAAAGCGUGGGUAGCAAAUAGGAUUAGAUACCCUAGUAGUCCACGCCGUAAACGAUGAGAACUAAAUAUUGCCGCGAGGCAGUGUUGAAGCUAACGCAUUAAGUUCUCCGCCUGGGGAGUACGAUCGCAAGAUUGAAACUUAAAGGAAUUGACGGGGACCCGCACAAGCAGUGGAGCAUGUGGUUUAAUUCGACGCAACGCGAAGAACCUUACCAGGGCUUGACAUAUUGAUUACUACCCCCUAAGAGAUUAGGGGAGACUAUAAAUACAGGUGGUGCAUGGUUGUCGUCAGCUCGUGUCGUGAGAUGUUAGGUUAAGUCCUGCAACGAGCGCAACCCCUCUCCUUAGUUGCCAUCAUUCAGUUGGGAACUCUAGGGAUACAGCCGGCGUAAGUCGGAGGAAGGUGGGGAUGACGUCAAAUCAUCAUGCCCUUUAUGUCCUGGGCGACACACGUGCUACAAUGGUCGGUACAAAGAGAUGCAAUCCCGCAAGGGGGAGCCAAUCCCAUAAAGCCGAUCUCAGUUCGGAUUGAAGUCUGCAACUCGACUUCAUGAAGCUGGAAUUGCUAGUAAUCGCGAAUCAGCCAUGUCGCGGUGAAUACGUUCCCGGGUCUUGCACACACCGCCCGUCA
Molecule: ribosomal RNA, 1298 nt
Filed under: uncultured bacterium
Lineage: Bacteria
Description: bacterial SSU rRNA
Rfam family: Bacterial small subunit ribosomal RNA
Source: RNAcentral